Molecule: long non-coding RNA, 2438 nt
Filed under: Homo sapiens (human)
Lineage: Eukaryota; Metazoa; Chordata; Mammalia; Primates; Hominidae
Description: HSALNT0335564
Source: RNAcentral
GCCAGCUGCCAUGUCCUGAAGAUACUAAGGCAACCGUGUGCAGAGGAACUAAAAUACCGAGUUCAACAACAGAUCACAGGUUGCGAGAGGUCUUAAAUCCAUACUCUUCCAGUGACUAGAGCAAAUGCAGCCCUAGGUCUGGCAUCCUGAAUUUUUGUCUUAUUUUUUCAUUAGUACACGAGACUCUACUUUCAUCUUUUUAAAAGGUCUCUUGCUAUCCUUCAAGCAAAGCUAUCUCCAAAUCUGAAGAAGAGACCAAGAAAUAGAAAAAGUAGCACCUCUUGCCUGCUUCCCUGUCUAAUAUUUGAAAGAGUGCCUCCAUCAGAGAGCUCCAUCCAGACCUAGACUUGGACAAUAGGCAGUUGUUUGCUUGCCUCUGGCUCUGCUCACUCUCCAUGGGGGUCUAUAGCUGGUGAUCAUCUUGUAUACCUAAUUCUGGCUUCAUCUUCAGACUCGGACAGCCAGGAAUCCAGGAAUGUGCAGCAUGGAUGCCCAAGUCUGAGUGGAGGUUGCAUCAGUUUCAAAGACAUUGUGCUCUUCCCUGCCGUGGUGGAGUGGUGAGCCGGUUGACAUCCCGGAAAAGGUUGUUAGGGAGUGGAGGUGGGUGGAAGAACCAGAGUCAGACAGUCUGUUCUUCUCUGAUGGUGUCACAUCUGGAUAGAGUGGCUGGAGCUGCUGCAUCCAGCUUGCUACAAGCACAGGGGAUGGCAGAGCUCAGAGAUGGGAUGACCCUGUGUUCUUGAUGGAAUCAACCAGUCAUGCGGAUCCUGCUAUUUCUGGACUGGCUGUUAGACAUCUGACUCAUGAAAAGAAAAAUAGAAGUGAAAAUUGCCAUUUUUCUCAAGAAAUAGCACUUUCUUCCCACAAUAUAAAGAAGACCAUUUGACUUUUAUUACUAAGUUUUCCAAACCACUGAGCAUGCACCUCCACAUGCCUGCAGAGUGCACUGGUUGCCAUUGGGUUGAGUGAAUUCCAGUUACACAUUACUAUCACAGACAAGUAAAGGGUCAAUGAAAUACAUAUUCACGACCCCACAAAUAAUCUUUUCAGUAGUCUGUUUCCUAGUUACAUGAUUUCCCUUUUCUUAAAUCCUUGAAUUAUUUGAUAAAAGUCUCCACAGUGGUGUUUUUACUGUGGCUGAACUUUGGUGGGUAAAGAGAUAAAAGAAAAACUUCAAUCUAUGGCCUUGGGACACACAUGAGAAAUUUGCUACCCAGGUGAGGCACACUUGUGGAAGCCAAAAAUCUUCAUGCUUAUAUCAAAUCCAUGAAUAUUCUGGCUUCUGAACAUGGCCCAAGUACGGGAGGGUUAUGUGCAGUAGUAAACAGAUGACUAAACUACAUCUGAUGCCUAAGUAGUGACUUCUUGGUGAACACACAACUUUUUCACCAUGCUAUCAUGCAAUCAUUUUUAAAACUCGGGAUGUCAUCUUCCUCCCUUGUAAGUUCAAGCCCCCAGAUAUGGCUUAUCAGGCCACUUAUAAUGUGUGUGCUUUCAAGUUCACGAUAUACAUUGCAUUACAUUUAUAAUAUCAGGUGACGUGACACAGCAAAUGAUACCUUCAACUAUCUCCAGCCCCAAUCUUGGGAAAUGUUUCUGGUAGUCCCAGUAGCAGGGACAGCAAGCUAAAAUAAGGGGUUUAACGUUUAAGAUCUCUAAGAGCUGAUACCACUGGGGCAAACUCCCUCAACAAUGAGGUUUUCUCCAACCUCAAAAGAAAGGCCAGUGAACAGUCAUCUGGUACAGGUGGCAUUGCUGGUGGGAGGAGUGGGUUUUCCACGGCUGUACUACACAUUUUGGGAGCCAUCAAUAGCUGGCGCAGUGGAUGCAACACCCUCUUGAUUGUCAGCAGAAGCAAAUCACUAGAAGCCCUGGAACCCUAGUAAAACACCCAAAAGAAAACAUGGAAUUAAAUAUCACGUUGUCAUCCCUGCUGCUUAGGUACAGAAGAGGUACAGCUCUAUUCUGGAAGGAUUUGGAGUCAUUUGAGAGAGCAGCUUUACAUCAGAAGUUUUGACUAGUAUUCUCAUUUUAGGGACAGAUAGUGAUUCUCAUUUGAGGACAGCUGAAAAAAAAAAACAGCUGAAUUAUCACCAACUAGUUUAGGUUAUGUCUUGGGUUGAAUUGUGUUGUCCAAAAAGAUUCAUUGACGCACUAACCCCCAGAACCUCAGAAUGUGACCCUUAUUUGGAAUGAGGGUCUUUACAGAGUUAAUCAGAUUAAAAUAAGAUACGAUUGGCACUAACCCAAUAUGAGUUUUUAGAAAAAGGGGAAAUUUCAACCCAGAGACAUGCAUUGUGGGAGAACUAUAAGAAAAGAUACAGGCAGAACGCCAUGAGAAGACAAAUGCACAGACUAGGGGAUGCAACUACAAGCCAAGGAAUGGCAAAGAUUUCCAGCAAACCACCAGAUGCUAGGAGAAGCAUGGAACAGAUUCU